RNAcentral lists this ribosomal RNA (301 nucleotides) under uncultured bacterium. RNAcentral describes it as "partial 16S ribosomal RNA". It matches the Rfam family "Bacterial small subunit ribosomal RNA", at positions 509 to 807 of the family's 1533-position model. The record is from RNAcentral.
CAGUCGCCACGGUAAUACGAAGGGUGCAAGCGUUACUCGGAAUUACUGGGCGUAAAGCGUGCGUAGGUGGUUGUUUAAGUCUGCUGUGAAAGCCCUGGGCUCAACCUGGGAAUUGCAGUGGAUACUGGGCGACUAGAGUAAGGUAGAGGAUAGUGGAAUUUCCGGUGUAGCAGUGAAAUGCGUAGAGAUCGGAAGGAACAUCUGUGGCGAAGGCGACUAUCUGGGCCAUUACUGACACUGAGGCACGAAAGCGUGGGGAGCAAACAGGAUUAGAUACCCCUGUAGUCCCUGUCUCUUAUAC